This 253-nucleotide ribosomal RNA is filed under the name uncultured bacterium. RNAcentral's name for it is "partial 16S ribosomal RNA". It matches the Rfam family "Bacterial small subunit ribosomal RNA", at positions 524 to 776 of the family's 1533-position model. The record is from RNAcentral.
UACGAAGGGGGCAAGCGUUGUUCGGAAUUACUGGGCGUAAAGGGCGCGCAGGCGGCAUAUGUAGUCAGGCGUGAAAGCCCCGGGCUUAACCUGGGAAUUGCGUUUGAUACUCAUAAGCUGGAGUUCGGGAGAGGUUGGUGGAAUUCCCAGUGUAGAGGUGAAAUUCGUAGAUAUUGGGAAGAACACCGGUGGCGAAGGCGGCCAACUGGACCGAAACUGACGCUGAGGCGCGAAAGCGUGGGGAGCAAACAGG